GGCUGGUCUAAAUGCAGUUGUGGUUACAAUCAAUUGAUCACAACCAGUUACAGAAUUCUUUGUUCCUUCUCUACUCCUACAACAUCACUUGACUGGCCUUAU
RNAcentral lists this Y RNA (102 nucleotides) under Aotus nancymaae (Ma's night monkey). RNAcentral's name for it is "Y RNA (ENSANAG00000004695.1)". It matches the Rfam family "Y RNA". Rfam says of the family: Y RNAs are components of the Ro ribonucleoprotein particle (Ro RNP), in association with Ro60 and La proteins. Lineage: Eukaryota; Metazoa; Chordata; Mammalia; Primates; Aotidae. The record is from Rfam by way of RNAcentral.